Molecule: long non-coding RNA, 1438 nt
Filed under: Helianthus annuus (common sunflower)
Lineage: Eukaryota; Viridiplantae; Streptophyta; Magnoliopsida; Asterales; Asteraceae
Description: hypothetical non coding rna
Source: RNAcentral
UUCUCUCUCGACUUCACUAUCUCAAAAUUCUAUUUUUAGUUUUAUUUCACUUAUAAUAAUAAUAAUAAGACCCUGCCCCGUUUUAAGUGUUUUAACCCUUGAUUAGCGAUACCCUGUCCGACUGACGUAGGGCCCCGUAACGUAUGUCAAGGCUCUGCCUAAAUUCGUUGGGGUUCUGUCUCGUGACGUAGGGAUAAAGUAAAAUCGGGUUACUAUACUUAAAGUGAGUGCACUAUAUAUUUUAUUAAAUAAUCCAGAAAUUAUACCAAGAUAUAUCAACUCUCCAAAAAUAUUUCUGACAUCCCUAAUAUAUUUAGAAUACCCCUAUAUGUCUUAAAUUACACCCCGUAUACGAAAACCGGUCCCGAAUACCCUUAUCUUUGUAAAAAUAAAAUAAAAACAAAUCUGCAAGCCGCUCGCGGGCCGCGUAAGGCCACACCAUUAGUUGACGCGGGCCGCGACAAGGCAGGCCACCCGCCCUCCUCCGGAAGCCACCACGUGGCGACACGUGGCGAAGCUAGGGUAGUGACACCUCAAGGCUACGCUGUUGACCGGGUUGACGCGGGCCGCGUAAACCCUGGUCUUGUAUUACGCGGGCCGUGAGAAACUGAAGAUCAGGCCCUAUAAAUAGCAACCAUCGGCAGUUCAUUCAAAUCGUUCAGAAUUCUUAUAUCUCUCUCAAUUUCUGUGGUGUAGGCCCUAUACCCGGGCAUUAUACCCCCCUAAUUAGCGAAAUUCUGCCUCGUUGUAAGUAUCAUAACCCCUGGAUACGUAUUAGAUACGCUGCCCGAUCGAUCUAGGGUUCCGUAACGGAUGUCGUGGUUCUGCCCGACGUAGUCAUUGGAAUGCCGUCUCGGGGAGGGUAUUACUAAUGUUAAAAUGGGUUAUUAUACUAACACGUGUGCAUUGUUUAUUCAACUAGAUUAUAACCAGGAAGCCACAAAGGAAAUACCUAAAAUAGCAAUUGAUUGAGUCUUUGUAAUUCUACAAUGACUGCCGGUAUGUUGGGGUUUUGUAUACAAAAUUGUAGUAACGUUACCAUUGGACGACGAGUUAGCCAAUGUGUAAUAUGACCCUCAGUUAGACGUGACACUACUGAAUGAGUAAUUGGGUAGAUGUAAACAUUGUAAUCGCCCUCAAUACUGUUUAAAUUAAAUUAAAUUAAUAAUUUUUGAUUAAACUGGGAUUCACUCACCAGUAUUUCCUGCUGAUAAAAUGUUUUAAACACGUGUUUCAGGUAACUUAGUGUGAAGCCCAUAAAAGCCAGCUGGAGAGCACUGAAGGCUUAGAAAAGUGGCAAUAAAAGUUACCUAAAUAAAAAGGAGAAUUAUUUUCAAUAAUUGGGGUUAUUCCCUAUCGAUGUACCAAAAUGAAAAUCGGGUAUUGUCCCACUUAUAAACGUAUUAUCAAAGAAACUUGGGUUUAUCCCAUUUCUUUA